This 254-nucleotide ribosomal RNA is filed under the name uncultured bacterium. RNAcentral's name for it is "partial 16S ribosomal RNA". It matches the Rfam family "Bacterial small subunit ribosomal RNA", at positions 524 to 776 of the family's 1533-position model. The record is from RNAcentral.
GACGUAGGUCGCGAGCGUUGUCCGGAAUUAUUGGGCGUAAAGAGCUCGUAUGCGGCUUGUUGCGUCGACUGUGAAAACCCGCGGCUCAACCGUGUGGCUUGCAGUCGAUACGGGCAGGCUAGAGUUCGGUAGGGGAGACUGGAAUUCCUGGUGUAGCGGUGAAAUGCGCAGAUAUCAGGAGGAACACCGGUGGCGAAGGCGGGUCUCUGGGCCGAUACUGACGCUGAGGAGCGAAAGCGUGGGGAGCGAACAGG